This 147-nucleotide unclassified non-coding RNA is filed under the name soil metagenome. RNAcentral describes it as "partial internal transcribed spacer 1". The record is from RNAcentral.
UGAUAAGUGUUUUAUGGCACUUUUUAAAUCCAUAUCCACCUUGUGUGCAAUGUCGGUCGAUCUUCUUUUUUUGAGGAUCGACCAAACAUCAACCUUUAUUUUUUAACUCUUUGUCUGAAAAAUAUUAUGAAUAAACAAUUCAAAAUA